GAAUUCUGAGGAGCUUGUGGGUCCAUUUUUCGGGACUCGUGUGGGUCCCCACUCUUAUCGGUGAGUUUUUCUGAGGUGGUGUGAAGCUGGGCAGCUUUCGCAUUCGAAUAGCACUCGCUGUUGCGAGAGCGUUACUCAGAUUUUUGUUGUCAGCGCA
Molecule: non-coding RNA, 157 nt
Filed under: Noctiluca scintillans
Lineage: Eukaryota; Dinophyceae; Noctilucales; Noctilucaceae
Source: RNAcentral